GGAAGGCUCCCUGGAGGAAGUGAUCUCUUAGUUGAGAAUUGACAGCUGUGUUGACAUUAGGCUGUUGCAAGGACCAGAGCUUUGGGGAUGAUAGCACAUUGGAGAUUGGUGAGAAGCUAGAAGGAAGAGCACAGCUGUAGAGGAGUGAGGGCUGAGGAUGUCAGAGAUGGGUGAGGCAUGUGGUUCUGGGUAUAACCACUCAUCAUAUUCCUGAUUUGUUUCAUGAAUUAUUCCAUGGAGGCCUGCUAAGUAACUGCUCAAGGAAAUAUAUAAGGAAGUGACUUAACACAAUUGGCAUGCAGUAGAUGGCUUGGCUCAGUUUUUUAAGUAGGAAUGCAGAAGAGGAAGAGGAAUGGAUCUUCCGAUUUUAGAUGCAAAUGGGAUGAAGCUAAUAUCUGCUUGACUGGUGGCUUAUGUGUAGAGUUGGAAGAAAUGCUGGCUGAUGUAUGUUACAAUCACGGAGGCAGCAGUGGUGAAAUGCAGUUGGGGAGCGAAGAAGAUUAUGUCUUAGGUUGAACAGAAACAACCCAGUGAGGAACUACUCAAGUGAAUAUAGGAUUUCCUUAAAAAUAGAACUCCGAUCAAGACGGAACAAAAGAUGCUGCACUUCUGACAGAGUAAAGAUACAUGUUUUACAUUCCCAGCUCUCCAGGAUUAUUUAUUUUAGGAUAACAUGCUUUUUAUGGAAGCCUUGAAGCUAAAUACAAAACAAACUACACUUCCCAUGCAUCUCUGUUCCAGAUAGCUUCUCCAAUCCCUCUUGGCAGCAAAAACACUGAUUUUCCUAAGGGUUUGGCUCAAUAAAGGAGUAAGGUAAAACUGGCA
This 825-nucleotide long non-coding RNA is filed under the name Vulpes vulpes (red fox). RNAcentral's name for it is "lncRNA (ENSVVUG00000015332.1)". Lineage: Eukaryota; Metazoa; Chordata; Mammalia; Carnivora; Canidae. The record is from RNAcentral.